GACAGAGGCCUCAAGCGUUAGGCGGAAUCACUGGGCUUAAAGCGUGUGUAGGCGGAUCGUUAAGUACCUUGUGAAAUCCCACGGCUCACCCGUGGAACUGCUGGGUAUACUGGCGAUCUUGGGCCAACUAGGGGCAGCUGGAACAAGCGGUGGAGCGGUGAAAUGCGUAGAUAUCGCGUGGAACGCCAAAGGUGAAAACAGGCUGCUGGGGUUGUGCCGACGCUGAGACACGAAAGCCAGGGGAGCAAACGGG
RNAcentral lists this ribosomal RNA (253 nucleotides) under uncultured bacterium. RNAcentral's name for it is "partial 16S ribosomal RNA". It matches the Rfam family "Bacterial small subunit ribosomal RNA", at positions 524 to 776 of the family's 1533-position model. The record is from RNAcentral.